UCCAUGAUAUAAACAAAGAUAGAUAUAAUAACCCCAAAAUAUGAAAGUCAAAAUAAGCACAAAAACUAAAGAAAGGAUAGAGUAAAAAUACAAAAGUAAAUGAUAUAUAGACACAGACAUGAAAAUCAAAAGAAACUAAAGGAUAUAUUAAAUCUAAUAACCUCAAAAGAUUAAUCCAAAGGAAGGAUCUAACUCUUAUGAACAACCAUGAGGGAAUCGUAGUGCCCUCGCAACCCCCAUUUCU
This 244-nucleotide long non-coding RNA is filed under the name Capsicum annuum. RNAcentral describes it as "long non-coding RNA (CANN_LNC014207)". The record is from RNAcentral. Lineage: Eukaryota; Viridiplantae; Streptophyta; Magnoliopsida; Solanales; Solanaceae.